This 253-nucleotide ribosomal RNA is filed under the name uncultured bacterium. Its description in RNAcentral is "partial 16S ribosomal RNA". It matches the Rfam family "Bacterial small subunit ribosomal RNA", at positions 524 to 776 of the family's 1533-position model. The record is from RNAcentral.
UACGGAGGGGACUAGCGUUGUUCGGAUUUACUGGGCGUAAAGGGCGCGUAGGCGGUUUAUUAAGUUAGAAGUGAAAGCCCAAGGCUCAACCUUGGAACUGCUUCUAAAACUGAUAAACUAGAGUACGGGAGAGGAUAGUGGAAUUCCUAGUGUAGAGGUGAAAUUCUUAGAUAUUAGGAGGAACACCGGUGGCGAAAGCGACUAUCUGGAACGUUACUGACGCUGAGGCGCGAAAGCGUGGGGAGCAAACAGG